UUCGUCUUCCUCAUUCCUCCAUCACCCACCCUCUGACGGAGUAAUUAUGGAAAAUAUUGCCGAUUUCACUUCUCCCAAGAGGAAAAGGGGAGUGAAUUGGAAAGACUGCCACACUCUGCACAUAGUAGAGCAAGUUGGGUUAAGGAAGACCAUACUGAGGGGCAAAUUCAGCCCUACUUUAACAUACAACGACAAGCGGGCAGCGUGGGAGGAGGUGACAGACAGCCUCAAUUCUACGUUUGGGCUCAGCCGCAGCCACGCAGAAGUCGAGAAGAAGUGGCAGAAUACCAAGACCACUUCCAUUCAACGGCUUUCUGCUAUGAGGGAAGCCCAAAGAAAGACAGGUGGUGGCUCAGUGGUGGAUACCUCGCUGUGUGACAUCACAGAGGCAGUCCUCCGAGUCAUCGGGGAGGACAGCAGUACAGCGAGGGGUAUAUCCAAAGGGAUAUCCCAAAAUGACACAGCCCUCAUGGAAGCAGACUUGGAUGAUGAUGCCUCCAGCACCAGCAAGGUGGGUCGUCUUGAGCCACCUCCAACUGGAAUGGAACCCAGCCCGGCCAGUGGGGAUGUAAUGACGAGGGUAACUCGGCUCGUCCUGAAACCAUCUGCACCUCCUGUGCUCAAUAGCGCUCUGAAUUCUGAUAACCACAUAGUGGCUAUAGCCUACGAGGAGGCAGUGGCAGCAUACAAGCGAAUGAGCGCUGCAUACGUUCAAUCAUUAGAAAACCAAAGUAAGAGGUAUAGGAAAAAUAGCAUCAUUGAGAGUAUAUUUAUAUAUAUUUAUUCUUACUUUUCCCCCACAGCUUAUCCUAUGUUUAUAGUGAAGUGGUGAUCAUAGUAAAUACUAAACACAUUUCAAUUCGGAAUAACAAAAUUAUAACAUACACCACAAAAUUGCAGUAAACGUGGAAAUAUUAAUUUACUCAUAAUGCAAUGCUUCGUAUUAAGUCAUGCUUGGUACCUGCACCCCAUUUUACAGCUUGAUUAAUCUCUGCACCACAUAUAUGUGCUUCUUGCUGUGUCCUGCUUAAUCAUUUUACAAAGGCGUCAUAUGGACUGAAGUUUAGUUUUCUUGCCAGACAGUGGUCCAUGGCAGCCUAAUAAAUAAAUACAAUUGUGAAUUUGGUUAUUUUUUCAUCCUCCUAGAAAAAAAAAAACUUUAGCGUGUGUGAAGGAAAGUGACCUGGCGUAGUUAGGUGGAGGUGACGCUAGAUCAAACCCCUCUUUAGGCAGCAACCCCAUAUGGCGGUGACAGCUGAAUGGGAAGCCGGGUAAAGGUGUUGGCGUUCGGCUGAGUCCUCCACGCUGGUCCUCCACAUCGCGUUACUUCGAGCCCUUGGGGAGAUGGAGCAGGGUUUGAAGCGUGUUCCCUUGACCCUUAGAGAGGUGGAGCAGGGGUCGAAGUACCACUUACUGAGGUGAAGCAGGGAUAAAUAAGUAGUCUUCCCUCUCAGCGUGACCUGGUUGGUAAUGUUAAU
Long non-coding RNA from Eriocheir sinensis (Chinese mitten crab), 1478 nucleotides. RefSeq lists it as uncharacterized. NCBI's taxonomy places the organism in Eukaryota, Metazoa, Arthropoda, Malacostraca, Decapoda, Varunidae. The transcript has 4 exons. The record is from RefSeq and is a predicted model, not a curated record.